AACGAACGCUGGCGGCAGGCCUAACACAUGCAAGUCGAGCGCGCCUUCGGGUGUUCGGCGGGCGGGUGAGGAACGCGUGGGAAUAUGCCCUUCUCUACGUAAUAGUCCUGGGAAACUGAGGGUAAUACCGUAUACGCCCUUUGGGGGAAAGAUUGAUCGGGGAAGGAUUAGCCCGCGUUGGAUUAGGUAGUUGGUGGGGUAAUGGCCUACCAAGCCGACGAUCCAUAGCUGGUUUGAGAGGAUGAUCAGCCACACUGGGACUGAGACACGGCCCAGAAUCCUACGGGAGGCAGCAGUGGGGAAUCUUAGACAAUGGGGGCAAUCCUGAUCUAGCCAGGCCGCGUGAGUGAUGAAGGCCUUAGGGUUGUAAAGCUAUUUCAGAUGGGAAGAUAAUGACGGUACCAGCAGAAGAAGCCCCGGCUAACUCCGUG
This 431-nucleotide ribosomal RNA is filed under the name uncultured bacterium. RNAcentral describes it as "partial 16S ribosomal RNA". It matches the Rfam family "Bacterial small subunit ribosomal RNA", at positions 29 to 507 of the family's 1533-position model. The record is from RNAcentral.